This 646-nucleotide long non-coding RNA is filed under the name Salmo salar (Atlantic salmon). Its description in RNAcentral is "lncRNA (ENSSSAG00000101566.1)". The record is from RNAcentral. Lineage: Eukaryota; Metazoa; Chordata; Actinopteri; Salmoniformes; Salmonidae.
AUGAGGGUAGGUUAGUGGUAGACAUGUCUGUAUGUAGUGUUAUGAUAUGAGGGUAGGUUAGUGGUAGACAUGUCUGUAUGUAGUGUUAUGAUAUGAUGGUAGGUUAGUGGUAGACAUGUCUGUAUGUAGUGUUAUGAUAUGAGGGUAGGUUAGUGUUAUGAUAUGAGGGUAGGUUAGUGUUAGACAUGUCUGUAUGUAGUGUUAUGAUAUGAGGGGUAGGUUAGUGGUAGACAUGACUGUAUGUAGUGUUAUGAUAUGAGGGUAGGUUAGUGUUAGACAUAUCUGUAUGUAGUGUUAUGAUAUGAGGGUAGGUUAGUGUUAUGAUAUGAUAUGAGGGUAGGUUAGUGUUAUGAUAUGAGGGUAGGUUAGUGUUAGACAUGUCUGUAUGUAGUGUUAUGAUAUGAGGGUAGGUUAGUGUUAGACAUGUCUGUAUGUAGUGUUAUGAUAUGAGGGUAGGUUAGUGGUUACUUUAUCCUAUCCCAGGUAUUCCUUAAAGAGGUGGGGUUUCAGGUGUCUCCGGAAGGUGGUGAUUGACUCCGCUGUCCAGGCGUCGUGAGGGAGCUUGUUCCACCAUUGGGGUGCCAGAGCAGCGAACAGUUUUGACUGGGCUGAGCGGGAACUGUGCUUCCUCAGAGGUAGGGAGGCG